This 72-nucleotide transfer RNA is filed under the name Daphnia pulex (common water flea). It matches the Rfam family "tRNA". From Rfam's summary of the family: Transfer RNA (tRNA) molecules are approximately 80 nucleotides in length. Lineage: Eukaryota; Metazoa; Arthropoda; Branchiopoda; Diplostraca; Daphniidae. The record is from Rfam by way of RNAcentral.
GGGGUUUUAACUCAUUGGUAGAGUGUUCGCUUUGAUUGCGAAAAGCCCGGAGUUCAAUCCUCCGCAACUCCA